Molecule: ribosomal RNA, 490 nt
Filed under: uncultured bacterium
Lineage: Bacteria
Description: partial 16S ribosomal RNA
Rfam family: Bacterial small subunit ribosomal RNA
Source: RNAcentral
AUUGAACGCUGGCGGCAUGCUUUACACAUGCAAGUCGGACGGCAGCACAGAGAAGCUUGCUUCUUGGGUGGCGAGUGGCGAACGGGUGAGUAAUAUAUCGGAACGUACCGAGUAAUGGGGGAUAACUAAUCGAAAGAUUAGCUAAUACCGCAUAUUCUCUGAGGAGGAAAGCAGGGGACCUUCGGGCCUUGCGUUAUUCGAGCGGCCGACAUCUGAUUAGCUAGUUGGUGGGGUAAAGGCCUACCAAGGCGACGAUCAGUAGCGGGUCUGAGAGGAUGAUCCGCCACACUGGGACUGAGACACGGCCCAGACUCCUACGGGAGGCAGCAGUGGGGAAUUUUGGACAAUGGGCGCAAGCCUGAUCCAGCCAUGCCGCGUGUCUGAAGAAGGCCUUCGGGUUGUAAAGGACUUUUGUCAGGGAAGAAAAGGCUGUUGCUAAUAUCGACAGCUGAUGACGGUACCUGAAGAAUAAGCACCGGCUAACUACGUG